UAAGAGCGAAUGGUGGAUGCCUUGACUGGUAAAGGCGAUGAAGGACGUACUAGACUGCGAUAAGCUACGGGGAGCUGUCAAGAAGCUUUGAUCCGUAGAUUUCCGAAUGGGGCAACCCAAUGUAUAGAGAUAUACAUUACCUAUAUAGGAGCGAACGAGGGGAAUUGAAACAUCUUAGUACCCUCAGGAAAAGAAAUCAAUAGAGAUUGCGUCAGUAGCGGCGAGCGAAAGCGCAAGAGGGCAAACCCAGUGCUUGCACUGGGGGUUGUAGGACUGCAAUGUGCAAGAGGUAAGUUUAGCAGAACAUUCUGGAAAGUAUAACCAUAGAGGGUGAUAGUCCCGUAUGCGAAAAACAAACCUUAGCUAGCAGUAUCCUGAGUAGGGCGGGACACGAGGAAUCCUGUCUGAAUCCGGGUCGACCACGAUCCAACCCUAAAUACUAAUACCAGAUCGAUAGUGCACAAGUACCGUGAGGGAAAGGUGAAAAGAACUGAGGUGAUCAGAGUGAAAUAGAACCUGAAACCAUUUGCUUACAAUCAUUCAGAGCCCUAUGUAGCAAUACAGGGUGAUGGACUGCCUUUUGCAUAAUGAGCCUGCGAGUUGUGGUGUCUGGCAAGGUUAAGCAAACGCGAAGCCGUAGCGAAAGCGAGUCUGAAUAGGGCGCUUAGUCAGAUGCUGCAGACCCGAAACGAAGUGAUCUAUCCAUGAGCAAGUUGAAGCUAGUGUAAGAACUAGUGGAGGACUGAACCCAUAGGCGUUGAAAAGCCCCGGGAUGACUUGUGGAUAGGGGUGAAAGGCCAAUCAAACUUCGUGAUAGCUGGUUCUCUCCGAAAUAUAUUUAGGUAUAGCGUUGUGUCGUAAUAUAAGGGGGUAGAGCACUGAAUGGGCUAGGGCAUACACCAAUGUACCAAACCCUAUCAAACUCCGAAUACCUUAUAUGUAAUCACAGCAGUCAGGCGGCGAGUGAUAAAAUCCGUCGUCAAGAGGGAAACAACCCAGACUACCAGCUAAGGUCCCUAAAUCUUACUUAAGUGGAAAACGAUGUGAAGUUACUUAAACAACCAGGAGGUUGGCUUAGAAGCAGCCAUCCUUUAAAGAAAGCGUAAUAGCUCACUGGUCUAGUGAUUUUGCGCGGAAAAUAUAACGGGGCUAAAGU
This 1156-nucleotide ribosomal RNA is filed under the name Campylobacter coli. RNAcentral describes it as "partial 23S ribosomal RNA". It matches the Rfam family "Bacterial large subunit ribosomal RNA", at positions 12 to 1188 of the family's 2925-position model. The record is from RNAcentral. Lineage: Bacteria; Pseudomonadati; Campylobacterota; Epsilonproteobacteria; Campylobacterales; Campylobacteraceae. RNAcentral also lists the same sequence under 1 other name.